AGAGUUUGAUCAUGGCUCAGAACGAACGCUGGCGGCAGGCUUAACACAUGCAAGUCGAACGGGCGUGAGCGAUCACGUCAGUGGCAGACGGGUGAGUAACGCGUGGGAACAUACCCUCCGGUUCGGAAUAACUCAGGGAAACUUGAGCUAAUACCGGAUACGGCUUAGCGGCGAAAGAUUGAUUUGCCGGAGGAUUGGCC
Molecule: ribosomal RNA, 200 nt
Filed under: uncultured bacterium
Lineage: Bacteria
Description: partial 16S ribosomal RNA
Rfam family: Bacterial small subunit ribosomal RNA
Source: RNAcentral